RNAcentral lists this ribosomal RNA (253 nucleotides) under uncultured bacterium. RNAcentral describes it as "partial 16S ribosomal RNA". It matches the Rfam family "Bacterial small subunit ribosomal RNA", at positions 524 to 776 of the family's 1533-position model. The record is from RNAcentral.
UACGUAGGGUGCAAGCGUUGUCCGGAAUUAUUGGGCGUAAAGAGCUCGUAGGCGGUUUGUUGCGUCGGCUGUGAAAUCCCGAGGCUCAACCUCGGGUCUGCAGUCGAUACGAGCAAACUAGAGUGUUGCAGGGGAGAUUGGAAUUCCUGGUGUAGCGGUGGAAUGCGCAGAUAUCAGGAGGAACACCGAUGGCGAAGGCAGGUCACCGGGCCGCAACUGACGCUGAGGAGCGAAAGCAUGGGGAGCGAACAGG